CGAGUCUGAUGGAGCAUGCCGCGUGAGUGAAGAAGGGUUUCGGCUCGUAAAACUCUGUUGUUAAAGAAGAACACCUUUGAGAGUAACUGUUCAAGGGUUGACGGUAUUUAACCAGAAAGCCACGGCUAACUACGUGCAAGCAGCCGCGGUAAUACGUAGGUGGCAAGCGUUGUCCGGAUUUAUUGGGCGUAAAGCGAGCGCAGGCGGUUUUUUAAGUCUGAUGUGAAAGCCUUCGGCUUAACCGGAGAAGUGCAUCGGAAACUGGGAGACUUGAGUGCAGAAGAGGACAGUGGAACUCCAUGUGUAGCGGUGGAAUGCGUAGAUAUAUGGAAGAACACCAGUGGCGAAGGCGGCUGUCUAGUCUGUAACUGACGCUGAGGCUCGAAAGCAUGGGUAGCGAACAGGAUUAGAUACCCUGGUAGUCCAUGCCGUAAACGAUGAGUGCUAAGUGUUGGAGGGUUUCCGCCCUUCAGUGCUGCAGCUAACGCAUUAAGCACUCCGCCUGGGGAGUACGACCGCAAGGUUGAAACUCAAAGGAAUUGACGGGGGCCCGCACAAGCGGUGGAGCAUGUGGUUUAAUUCGAAGCUACGCGAAGAACCUUACCAGGUCUUGACAUCUUCUGCCAAUCUUAGAGAUAAGACGUUCCCUUCGG
This 653-nucleotide ribosomal RNA is filed under the name Levilactobacillus brevis. RNAcentral's name for it is "bacterial SSU rRNA". It matches the Rfam family "Bacterial small subunit ribosomal RNA", at positions 378 to 1023 of the family's 1533-position model. Lineage: Bacteria; Bacillati; Bacillota; Bacilli; Lactobacillales; Lactobacillaceae. The record is from RNAcentral.